GGGCCGAUAGCUCAGUUGGUAGAGCAUCCGGUUUGCAUCCGGAAGGUUUGGGGUUCGAGUCCCCAUCGGUCCA
Molecule: transfer RNA, 73 nt
Filed under: Candidatus Portnoyibacteriota bacterium
Lineage: Bacteria; Candidatus Portnoyibacteriota
Description: Candidatus Portnoybacteria bacterium tRNA-Ala
Rfam family: tRNA
About the family: Transfer RNA (tRNA) molecules are approximately 80 nucleotides in length.
Source: RNAcentral